RNAcentral lists this ribosomal RNA (687 nucleotides) under uncultured Pseudomonadota bacterium. Its description in RNAcentral is "bacterial SSU rRNA". It matches the Rfam family "Bacterial small subunit ribosomal RNA", at positions 73 to 753 of the family's 1533-position model. The record is from RNAcentral. Lineage: Bacteria; Pseudomonadati; Pseudomonadota.
AAACAGCUUGCUGUUUCGCUGACGAGUGGCGGACGGGUGAGUAAUGUCUGGGAAACUGCCUGAUGGAGGGGGAUAACUACUGGAAACGGUAGCUAAUACCGCAUAACGUCGCAAGACCAAAGAGGGGGACCCUCGGGCCUCUUGCCAUCGGAUGUGCCCAGAUGGGAUUAGCUUGUUGGUGGGGUAACGGCUCACCAAGGCGACGAUCCCUAGCUGGUCUGAGAGGAUGACCAGCCACACUGGAACUGAGACACGGUCCAGACUCCUACGGGAGGCAGCAGUGGGGAAUAUUGCACAAUGGGCGCAAGCCUGAUGCAGCCAUGCCGCGUGUAUGAAGAAGGCCUUCGGGUUGUAAAGUACUUUCAGCGGGGAGGAAGGGAGUAAAGUUAAUACCUUUGCUCAUUGACGUUACCCGCAGAAGAAGCACCGGCUAACUCCGUGCCAGCAGCCGCGGUAAUACGGAGGGUGCAAGCGUUAAUCGGAAUUACUGGGCGUAAAGCGCACGCAGGCGGUUUGUUAAGUCAGAUGUGAAAUCCCCGGGCUCAACCUGGGAACUGCAUCUGAUACUGGCAAGCUUGAGUCUCGUAGAGGGGGGUAGAAUUCCAGGUGUAGCGGUGAAAUGCGUAGAGAUCUGGAGGAAUACCGGUGGCGAAGGCGGCCCCCUGGACGAAGACUGACGCUCAGGUG